Molecule: RNA transcript, 4705 nt
Organism: Gopherus evgoodei (Goodes thornscrub tortoise)
Lineage: Eukaryota; Metazoa; Chordata; Testudines; Testudinidae
Gene name: perilipin-2-like
Exons: 7
Source: RefSeq, a predicted model, not a curated record
CGGGGAGUAAGUUACAGCGCUGUAAAGCCGCCACCAGCACUGUAACUCUCCAGUGUAGCCAAGCCCUAAGUUUCCUGAGUGGCACAGAGCUCUGUCGUCUGCUGUCCAACAUAACAAGCUUGCUAUCAAUCCAUGAGGUUAUACUUCCAUUGUGUUCAGGGCCACUCCGCAGUGGGUCUCAGCCAGCAUAAAAGAGAAAGGUUUAUUGUGUGUCUGAACACAGCACAGGCUGUUCUCAGGGCCCUCAAGCCUAGAAGGUCACAGCACAGUCCAAUUGAAUCCGUCCAGCAGAGGAUGUGGAAAACUCUAGUGGGGCUAGUGAGUUACCAGGAACAGGGUUUAAGAGGGCUGAGCCUUUGCCCUGUGGUGGGGAAAUUGAAGCACAACCAACAAGGGCUGCACCCCACAAGCAGCUGAAUUCCAGACUGAGUAGCAAGUGGAAGGAUCCCUCCUUGAAGAAGCUGAGGGCCCUUGCAGGCCACGGUGUUGGAAGACCCUGGGGGCGGACUGCUGGAAAAGAUCCCUGUGGGAGAAGGGGACUGGUACCCGGAAAAGGGCACCCCGAUGGAAAAUUGAACCUUGGGGGAUCAAGGGCUAGUGGCCCCCAGAAGUACCCAGAGCAGCUGUUGUAGCUUAUUAAACUCAUCCCCCCCUUCAUCAUUUGUCGCCUUAGUACAGCAUAUAAUAGCUUGAUUCUCAACAGUUGCCGAGCAGUCACAAAUUGUAGUGAAAUAAGCAGGGGCUGCAGCUGCUCAGCACCUUUAAAAAUUAGUCCACGAGGGUAUGAAACUACCUUUGGCAGCAGCUGGUAUCUCCAUUUUUCAUAUGGGUAAACUGAGGCACAGAAAGAUGAUGUGACUUUCCCCAAAGUACCCAGUAAGGCAGUGGCAAAGUUGGAACUAGAUCCCAGGAGUCCUGACUCCCAGCCCUUUACUUAAGCCACUAAAUAAUCCUUUCUACCAUCUGUGCAUCCUGACAAAGAUACCUUAUAAAAUGAUCCGUCAAAUAUCUAAUGACCCACUGUUUGCAAAACCUAAUUUCUCUGAAUGGAACAGAGUGGUCAUUUUAACAGAUCAAAGUAGAUCAAGUGUUGUUAGUUCGCAAGUCAAGACGAUUCCUCCAAUUGCUGGUGCCAGAGACUCCCAGUCGUGAUGUGAAAACCCAGCUAUUUGGUCAGCUUCUGACCUAAUCACUGCUGUAGGAGGUUCUUAGCUGACCAUUUUGUUGGUGCUACAAGAGUCAGAAUGGACUCCAGCUCUCUCUCCUGCAGCUGUAUUAGCUCCUGCUAACCUAGCAGAAGGAAGAUCUUUUUUUCCAUCGGCAAUGGGAGCUCCAUACGUUCAGGAAGCAGAGAUCUGAGUAACCGGAGGCCAUUUUUAUGUAGGCACCCUUUUAGCAGGAACUGCUCCUUAACUGACUCACUUUUAAUGUGUAGUCUUUCUGUAUUCUAGAACCCCAGCUGUUUACCUUAUCUCAGGGCUUCUCAACCUGGAGUUUGUGAGCAGAUGCCAAGGGGUUGUGGCCAUGCUGCCCUCCCCUCGUGCUAAAAGGGAUGGAAUGGAUGGACCCCAGUAUGGAAAAGAUUGAGAACUGCUACCUGCCCUAGUGAAGAAAAACCCGGCUGUGCACGUACAUACACAAAUAUUUCAUUCACCGGGUAACUUGGAUUUUAGCUGCUUUGCAGUAUGAUAAGCUAUAGCAAGAGAAAACUGACGGCUUGUUAACCAGAUAGCAAGGGGAUUAUAAGAGGAACUGGGCUCCAGACUUUCAGUUGGGUCACAGCUCUGCCACCGCUUGCGAAAUGAAGAUGUUUCAAAUUGUCAAGGACAACACCUUGGGGCGCAUCGCUAGUAUCCCUCUGUUCAACUCGGCUUAUCAGAUUGCUGUGUUCACUUACGCGGACAUAAAAGGUACCCACCCCGUGGUGGGUUUCUUCCAUGACAUGGCAGAGCGCAGCGUGAGCACCAUGGUGGGGGUGGCUGUGAUGGCAGCCACUCCUGUCGUGCAGAGGCUGGAGGUGCCAAUAGCUGCAGUUAAUAGCUACACACUGAGAGGCGUGGCCGAGCUGGAGGCGAGAUUCCCCAUUCUGGAUCAGUCAGCGGACGAGGUCCUCGGGAAUUUGCGAGGCAGCCUGGCUGCCGGCAUGGAGCAGCUGCAGGCCCGCACCGCUGAGCGAGUGGGCUGGCUGAGGGAGCGGGCCAGCAGGGUUGUGGAGGACGUGAUGGGCACUGCGGCCUUGGGGGUGAACAUCGUCCUGAAUGCCAGUGUCAUUGGCCAAGUGCUGGAGCCCAGGGCCGAGGCAGCUCUGAGCCGCGUAGAGCAGAUCGCGAGCCACUAUCUCCCUGCCACAGAGGAAGAAACCAGAAGGCAGGUGCCAAGCCUCAGAGGCGUGAAGCAGAGCCCAGAAAGCGAGCAGACCUAUGCCAGGCGGCUGCAGCUUGUGAUUGCUACCUCUGCCCAGCGAGCAAACCGGAGAGCGUGGUCGUAUGCAGAAGAACUAUGGCGUUUGAUGCUCCGGGCCCUGAACCAGCUGUUGGAGUUUGCUGUCGAGUUCUUCGAGCCUCCUUCAAUCUCCGCCUUGCCGAGAGCGCACAGAAGCCGAUGCUUAUUGGUGUCUCUGCGGACACAGGACUGGUGUUACCUCCAUACUGCAGGAGGCCUUUUGAUCAAUUAAUUUGCCUGAAGUCUUCCAGAGAUCUGCCUUAUGGAGCUGAUUUUCCAAGAUCCUCAAUCCUCCCAGCAGCUGUUGAGUUCAGCUGCAUUUGUCGGUGCCCAGCCUCUCUAAAGAGCAAGCCCCAGGCCUCUUCUCUAUCUCCCUGUUCAGAGGCUGCUCGACCCUUCCUGGUAGGGCCAGGUGGAGGUGACCCCAGUCCAUAAAUGUUACAGUGGAGUUAGAGGUGAACUGGAGCUGCAGAAUUCAGAUCCAAAUCCGGACUCCCCCCAGGGUUGGGUUUCAGCCCGUUCCGGAGUUGAGGGCCACCUGCUGAACUUCCCCGCAGCCUGGAGGUGUUUGACUCCAGGCCCAGGCUCCAUCCCGCUGCCCUCGGUGCUGUCAUUUACACCAGUGCAGUGUGCUUGUCGAAUGCUGCCAUUCUGAGCCUGUGGCAUUUCACACCUGCUCUGCGUAGUAUGAACGACAGCGUCUGGUGCAGAGACUCAGGCCCCUGGUGUAUGGGAGGUAAUGACUGCUGCUAGACAGGGCAGUGUCUGGAGAGCUAGGGGCCCCUUUGUAACUGGGAAGCCAGAGCCCCAUGCACCCAGCUGUUUACCCAGAAUUGCAUUCCACUUUAACUCCUGGUAGGUCAGUAGAUACUUAUUGGGCACGAUACGUGGUCAGUGGCCCUCUGUGCUUGGCUCCUAACACAGCACAUGCAUGAUGGACAUUGUCCAAGCUCACCUUUCCCCACUGCUGGUCAUCCUCUUUCAUUAAGGUAACAAAACCCUCAGGCAGGCCUGUGCUUAUCAUGAUAAACCUUAGCCCUCCUCCCUCCUAAGCAGGCUCAUUACAUCUCAUCCCUGUAGGCCCUCUUCUAGUGCUCCCUUCACUCCCAGACUCUCAGCCUUUAUGUUGUUGAACAGGCUUAAUCAGGCCCCACCUGGUCUGGCUGAAAGGGUGAGUCAGUAGAGUAGCUCUGCACCUCCAUACAAGGUUCCUGUUUAAUGCCCUAAACCAGAUAGAACAGAUCCUUUGAUUCACCUCCCAUGAUCCAAAAGGGCCCAUUGUUUCUUGAUAUGGCAGCUUUGGGGGAAUUGGUGAACAGGGAUGUCAAAUAUAUGUCCAUCAGCACCAGGAUGGGACCCUACAUUUUUUAUGUGAUCUGAGCUGCUUUUAACGUCUAUCUUUCCUUGCAUGUUAUUUUUUUAUAAUGUUCUUUGCACAGUCCUCGUUUAGAGACAGCCUCAGAUCUCACACACCCCAGUCCCUAUUGGAUUAGGAGAUUGGGCCAGAUUCUGAUCCCUGGGGCAAACCCAGAGUCACUCUCUGCAUUGGAUUUACGCCAGUAUGGGAGAGAUCAGAGCCUGGCCUGUAGCUGCUACUGCGCUCUUCCAAAUCCAGAGCCUUUCUGUAACAUCCUGGAAAUGCCGGGAGCUGAGCUUUGUUCUGCUGUGUUGCCCCCAGCAAAGGGAAGUGACCGCAUCUCUGUGACUGCUCAGCCAGUUGGGAGGUUAGCAGAUUCCUGAGCUGAUGCUGACUAAGGGGACAUGGUCUCUGCCCUCGCUCAGUUCCCAGAGCUCUGGGUCACACUGUAGCCUGCGGGCUCGGGGGAGAAUGUGUGGGCUGCCACACGGAGGGGUAAGUGCUAUUCCAGGGCAUUUGCUUCAGUGUAUGGACUCCGGUGUAAAACCAAACAGAGAUCAGGGCUGGUGUGAGGCAUCCCAGGUGCUAGAGCCCUUUGUUUAUCCACCCAGAACAGGUAGCAGCAGGGCAAGCUUCACACCUGCACUGUCCCAGAGAGUCUAGUUGUUUGCAGGGUUAUUGUAGCCAUGUGAGUCCCAGGGAGAAUAGAUCAGUUUCCAUCUUCAGUGCCUGAGUGCAGAGUCCCUUGUGCACUGGCAAACAAGGGGUUAACUCUCUGUUAGGUCCUUAUAAUGUCCCUUAUCAGCGUACAAUUGUGAAUGGUCUUUAUCUCCAUUCGGCACAUGGGGAAACCGAGGCACAGAGCGAGCUCAAGUGACUUGCCCAGGGUCACACAGGGAGUCUGUA